GGAGGGGUGGCAGAGCGGACGAAUGCGACGGUCUUGAAAACCGUUGAGGGGCAACUCUCCGGGGGUUCGAAUCCCCCCCCCUCCG
This 85-nucleotide transfer RNA is filed under the name Actinomycetota bacterium. RNAcentral's name for it is "Actinobacteria bacterium tRNA-Ser". It matches the Rfam family "tRNA". From Rfam's summary of the family: Transfer RNA (tRNA) molecules are approximately 80 nucleotides in length. Their secondary structure includes four short double-helical elements and three loops (D, anti-codon, and T loops). Further hydrogen bonds mediate the characteristic L-shaped molecular structure. tRNAs have two regions of fundamental functional importance: the anti-codon, which is responsible for specific mRNA codon recognition, and the 3' end, to which the tRNAs corresponding amino acid is attached (by aminoacyl-tRNA synthetases). tRNAs cope with the degeneracy of the genetic code in two manners: having more than one tRNA (with a specific anti-codon) for a particular amino acid; and 'wobble' base-pairing, i.e. permitting non-standard base-pairing at the 3rd anti-codon position. Lineage: Bacteria; Bacillati; Actinomycetota. The record is from RNAcentral.